AAGUGUUUUAACAUCAUGAAGAUUGUGCAGCUUCACCUCUAUCUGCUCAUAUGGUGUGAAGCUGCGGAGACUUUAACUGAUCAACUAACAGAUUUGGGUCAAAAUGUGUCUAUAAACUGUGAUUUUGAUGUAAAGGAGGUUAACUGGUUAUUACUGAAACUACCAGAUUCUCCGGUUCUGAUAUUACGCACUUUCUCAUCUGCAGCUCCUCAUUACUACAAUAAUAGAUUUAGACACAAAUAUUCAGUGCAAAGAAAACCUCAUCUAUUCAUAAAUAAUGUCACUAUUGAUGAUUUAGGACUUUAUUACUGUGUGACCACAGACGCUCC
Long non-coding RNA from Rhinichthys klamathensis goyatoka, 329 nucleotides. RefSeq lists it as uncharacterized. The transcript has 2 exons. NCBI's taxonomy places the organism in Eukaryota, Metazoa, Chordata, Actinopteri, Cypriniformes, Leuciscidae. The record is from RefSeq and is a predicted model, not a curated record.